Molecule: long non-coding RNA, 866 nt
Filed under: Equus asinus (donkey)
Lineage: Eukaryota; Metazoa; Chordata; Mammalia; Perissodactyla; Equidae
Description: lncRNA (ENSEASG00005026302.1)
Source: RNAcentral
UGAGCAGAAGACACGAUCUGAGUCAUGCUUCAUACAGGUCACCUCGGCAGUGGCGGGCCACACAUGAUGGGGGGUGCAGGGGAGCAGGGGCUGCGGUGGCUGAGACGAGACGGUGGGAGGGUAGUGAGUAUUGGAGUGGGACACGGUGAGAGGGCUGGAGGGGGAGCCAGCAGGACUCAGUGAAACUUGGGACGGGUGCGUGAACUCAGAGGACUUCCAGGAUGACCCCCGGUUUCUAGCUUAAGUGACUGACAGAGACACGGUUCACUGAGGUGGGCUGGAGGGUGAGGGGGCUUGUGGGGGAAAGGCAACAGCUCUACUUGCAGCCACAUCAGGUCGGGACGCCAUGAGAUGUCCAGGUGGAGAUGUCACCGGGCCUGUUUUCAUCCCUCAACAAAUAUUCACAUCCAGAAAGCGGCACCCCGAGAGUCCCAAAUCCUAAAUCAUAGUCCAGAUGUCAGAGCUGGAAGAGACUUUAGACCCAUCUGGAGCCCACGGUCCUCGCACACCAUGAGUGGAGGAGCCAGCUGGGGUGUUGGAGAACCACGGCGCCUCCUCCCUGAGUCUGACUGCAGCCCAGCCUCCAGAACGGUGAGAAAUGCCCACUGAGGAAGCCGCCCACUGGCAGUGUUGUGGCGCCAGCCCUGGCCACCAGCGCUCUGGCCACGACCUCGGCUGCCCUCCCUCCAGGUGCUUCGGCCUCCUCCCCCGGAGGCUCUGGCCCUGCCACUGUGUCCUCCAGAGUCGGACCCAGGGAAUUAAGGGUCACAAGCCCACUAACUCUGCGAGACAGCAGGUCACUGGGCUGAGGUCUCCUGGUCCCAUAGCCUCCUGUGCCCCGUCCGAGGUUGGCCACUCUGCUGCUC